GCGAGGGAAGGUUUUCGCCAAUCGUAAACUAAAGAUCGGUGGGACUUUCGUUCGUCU
RNAcentral lists this microRNA precursor (57 nucleotides) under Lottia gigantea (owl limpet). RNAcentral describes it as "Lgi-Mir-278_pre stem-loop". Lineage: Eukaryota; Metazoa; Mollusca; Gastropoda; Lottiidae. The record is from RNAcentral.